This 501-nucleotide ribosomal RNA is filed under the name uncultured bacterium. RNAcentral's name for it is "partial 16S ribosomal RNA". It matches the Rfam family "Bacterial small subunit ribosomal RNA", at positions 30 to 523 of the family's 1533-position model. The record is from RNAcentral.
AUUGAACGCUGGCGGCAGGCUUAACACAUGCAAGUCGAGCGGGGGAAGGUAGCUUGCUACUGGACCUAGCGGCGGACGGGUGAGUAAUGCUUAGGAAUCUGCCUAUUAGUGGGGGACAACAUCUCGAAAGGGAUGCUAAUACCGCAUACGUCCUACGGGAGAAAGCAGGGGAUCUUCGGACCUUGCGCUAAUAGAUGAGCCUAAGUCGGAUUAGCUAGUUGGUGGGGUAAAGGCCUACCAAGGCGACGAUCUGUAGCGGGUCUGAGAGGAUGAUCCGCCACACUGGGACUGAGACACGGCCCAGACUCCUACGGGAGGCAGCAGUGGGGAAUAUUGGACAAUGGGGGGAACCCUGAUCCAGCCAUGCCGCGUGUGUGAAGAAGGCCUUAUGGUUGUAAAGCACUUUAAGCGAGGAGGAGGCUACUCUAGCUAGUACCUAGGGAUAGUGGACGUUACUCGCAGAAUAAGCACCGGCUAACUCUGUGCCAGCCGCCGCGGUAA